CAGCAGCCGCGGGAAUACGUAGGUGGCAAGCGUUGUCCGGAAUUAUUGGGCGUAAAGCGCGCGCAGGCGGUUUCUUAAGUCUGAUGUGAAAGCCCCCGGCUUAACCGGGGAGGGUCGUUGGAAACUGGGAGACUUAGAGUGCAGAAGAGGAGAGUGGAAUUCCAUGUGUAGCGGUGAAAUGCGUAGAUAUAUGGAGGAACACCAGUGGCGAAGGCGACUCUCUGGUCUGUAACUGACGCUGAGGCGCGAAAGCGUGGGGAGCAAACAGGAUUAGAUACCCCCGUAGUCCCUGUCUCUUAUU
RNAcentral lists this ribosomal RNA (301 nucleotides) under uncultured bacterium. RNAcentral's name for it is "partial 16S ribosomal RNA". It matches the Rfam family "Bacterial small subunit ribosomal RNA", at positions 509 to 808 of the family's 1533-position model. The record is from RNAcentral.